UGGGUAUCUACUCAGGAUCAGCUUGAAAUAGUCCUCUUAAUAUUGAUUUUUCUUCUUCAAAAAAAAUCUGCCUGCGAAUCUGAACGAAGCUUUGUUCGCGAUCAACUCUUUGAUCAUUUCCUUGAUAUUUUUCUUCUAUUCUUCUCUUACUUUUUCUUUCCUAGAUUAUGAAGCAACCAGGGACUAAAAACCAGCAAUCAAGUAGAAUGUCGAAACCUCUUUUGGGCAUGAAGAUGGAGGACAUCCAAGAUGAUGGACGUUGGACCUCCAAGGGAGAAGAGAGGGGAGAAGAAAAGAGGG
Molecule: long non-coding RNA, 300 nt
Filed under: Elaeis guineensis (African oil palm)
Lineage: Eukaryota; Viridiplantae; Streptophyta; Magnoliopsida; Arecales; Arecaceae
Description: long non-coding RNA (EGUI_LNC021547)
Source: RNAcentral